Molecule: long non-coding RNA, 1044 nt
Organism: Drosophila willistoni
Lineage: Eukaryota; Metazoa; Arthropoda; Insecta; Diptera; Drosophilidae
Exons: 2
Source: RefSeq, a predicted model, not a curated record
CCAGCUGCCCCGGUCGGUCGGUCGUUCGGUCGCCUCUCACAGAUACACACCUUUAACGGAAAAAUGAAAGCAAAUCUUUGUAACGAACUCGAGUUGAAAAACCGGUAUUUCGAAAAAGACAACGCCAAGAGGCCAGAGAGCUCUCGAGCUCUUGGCUCGAUGUGUAUGUAUCCGUUGAAUUCUUGAGUGAAGUUUUCUGUAUUUGAGCGGGACUCUCCAAAAUAAAAGAACUCAAAGAACGACUAUGUCACGCACGCCCGCUUAUUUUCCAAGGCGAUAUUGACAGUGAUGAGCACGUCUUGUCGUUUUACUACCUGUUGAUGGAGAUGGAGAUGCCGACUGCCAAAGAGCUGCUGGUGCUGAUGCUGAUGUUGCUGCUGCUUCUGCUGCUGGUUGGAAAUUUCGCUGUACUUUGAUUAAUUACAGGUGAAUCAAAGUGGGGGUCACUCGUGGACUGUUCGUUGUUUAAUUACAGAGCAUGCUCCAGUGGUUGCAUGGGAAAAUGUUCUUACCCCCCACCGCAACUCAUAUUUAUGUAUGGUCUUUAAUAACUUUAUGUAGUCGCGCGAUUGUGGCUUAUUAGUUGGUCAACAUACCAACUCGUAGUUAGGCCUGUGGUUAGCUUGGAAUGCAUAAUGAGAUGUUGGAAUUGGUGGAGCUCAUAAAGGGAAAUUUUCAUAAACGGCUAAAAACGUUUUACAGCAAAUCAAGAAUAAAUGAACCAAAAGUCGAGAGGGAGAAGCGUAGAAACGUGCUCCUUCUGACCAUUGCGAGAUGGCAAUUCUUCGUCAAUUUCCAAUUUGUUGAUGCUUGGCACGUACUCCGCCUCGCACACAUCUGCACCGAUCACCGGGUGGAUCGACACUGGUGGCCAAAACAUUAUGUCCAGCUCAAUAUAUUCAUAUGUUUGUGUAAGAAAGAACUGCCCCAUAAGGGAAUACCGAAAAUAAUUCUCGGAAUUCCAUGUAAGACAACGCUAUGCCUUGCUUAUUUAUGUAUGUAUGUGUAAUAAAGGUGAAAAAAUUCACACUCUACUUCUAUAAA